RNAcentral lists this long non-coding RNA (1951 nucleotides) under Canis lupus familiaris (dog). RNAcentral's name for it is "lncRNA (ENSCAFG00000050084.1)". The record is from RNAcentral. Lineage: Eukaryota; Metazoa; Chordata; Mammalia; Carnivora; Canidae.
UGACAGGAAAUUGCUUAAAUAAAUAAGGCAAAAAUUCUGUCUCAAGUAUUCUGAGUCUGGUAAAGAAGACAGACAGACAAGUGCUGUAGUGCGAUACAGGAAAAACAAUAUUAGAUAAAUACACAUAGUAAAAGCUGUGGGCAUAUGUCACACAUAAUAUGACAUUUGAGGUAGAUCUGAAAGCUGAGUGGUCCCCCCGGUGAAGGAGGGAAGAGCACUCCAGCUGUCUAAAUGGGAAAGGUGGCAGUAAAGACAUGGCAGUGUGCUGGAAAGAACAGGCAGUUGUUUCUUCUGCCAAUUUUCCAGGAUGUCCUUAAACCCAAGGUGAAGAAUUUAGGGCUGUUUGCAAGUCCCUUCCAGAGUUUGUUUAUUCAAGCAGUAUUUAUUCGGCAUCGAAUAUUAUAGUAGCUAGUAUUUACUGGGUUCUUAGAAUGUGCCAGAUACAAAGUGCUUUUCAUUUAAUCCUCAAAGUAACCCAUGAGGCAGGAAAAUGUAUCCCUCUAUUUUAUAGAAAAGGAAACUGAGGACUACAAAGAUUAAGUCACUCACCUGAGAUGAGGCAGUUAGGAAAAUCCUGCCCUGGAUUAUAUGUCUGUCUGGUCCCAAAUUCUGUGCCUUCAACGCCAUGAGGAUGUCUUCCCAGGAGGCCCUGCGCAGGAAAAAAAAAAAAAAAAAAGCAGAAAGGCCACAGCACAGCCAGAGGGAGUAGCUCCAUUUGCGGCCACCUGGGAUGUGACAGCCAGCUCGCAUCCUAAAAACAGCUCUGUGUGAAGCACACUUUGAGAGAGCAGAGGAGGCUCAACAGAGAACUUUUUGUGGAGAGAGUUGCCAGAAGUGACCCUGAAAGGGAGAACUCUGGAGAGCCGGCAACAGAAGCAGUUGGAAGCUGCCAUUGAGAAAGCUGCCUCCACCAGGAAGAAAUGUUCCUGGAAGCUGCUGUGAGCGGAGAUGCGGGGGGCCCACCAUCCCCCGAAAUGUCUGCUGAGGCUGCUGCUAAUAGAAGGGCAGGCUGGGGAGACGUUGUAAUCAAAGGUUUUCUGGCCUCUCUGCCAUCUCAGAGAAAACUCUCUUGACAUCAAGGCAACUGACUCCAUUGAUCUUUUAGUAGCCUACUUCCUAAAGAUAUGGAAUAAAAUUCCCUACCUUUAGAUCUUGAUGAGAUUGGUCCCCAGAACUUCUGAGGAGCGGGUUUUAGGCCAACAAUAUGGAAAAAGAGAAAAGGAGAGUGUUGUGUCAGAGAAAGAGAGAACUAUGACCCAGCCAGUAAGUUUCUGGUGGAGGUUAAGCCUUUGGAGGAAAAUACAGGGUUGCAUAUACCAUAUAUAUAUGGUAUGUGUAAAAAUAAUAUAUCCUAUAGGAUUAACCUAAAUAAGUAAAGUUGUACUCCAUGCCAGUUUUCACUCUGAAAUAUAAAUAACUCCCGGAAUUGAGGAUUUCCGUGAUACCAAAUGGUAAUCAGAACAAUUUGAGUCACAUUGGGAAUGAGAUUCUUGAACAGAAAUUUAGCAUAUUUCACUACACUUGUGCCUGGGCUGUAGAGAAUAGGAGCUGAGAGCCUGAGCCUCAAAGGGGACUGCCUGGCACAGAUUCCAGUCUUUUCUACCUGAUAGCCAUGCAACCAUUAAUGACGACUCCUUGCUUCUCUGAGAGCAGAGAUUUUGUCGGUUGUAUUCUCUGCUGAAUCUCCCAUGCCUGGAAUAUGCCUACCACAUUGUCAUAACUCAAUAACAAUCUGUUCAACUAAACUGAAUUGAAUAGCAUUGUCAGAGUCAUUCUUGUCAAAUAUUUGUUAGAUAUUCUGCAUAGUGUGGUGCACUUGAUGUUGGAAAAUUCAGAACAAACUUAUAAGGAUUCCAGCAGACUUUUAUCCAGAAUCUACAAAGAACUCUUACAAGUUAAUAAGACAAACAACCCAAUUAAAACAUUGGCAAAAGAUCUGAAUAGACAUCUU